CUUCCGGUCCGGUUAAACGCGGCUUAGGUACACAACGUGGCUGGUGUCGUGCGGAGAUCGGCUUCUGAACGUAAAUCAGCAGGUGAAGAAUCAAGAAUCAGCGUCCGGACUCAGGAGUCUGGAUACCAGUGAAAAGACGGAAAAAAAGAAAAGGAACCUGAAUACGAUCUAUCCGCUGUUUCCGAGGGGCCAACUUCUACAGUGAACCCCUCUGCCCUGGUAACGGCCAAAGAGGAGGAGAUGGCGCCAGUCAGGGAGCGGCUGUGGCCAAGACAGUAAGGAAGCGCGAAGGCGGAGCAACCGGGAAGCCUCCUGAGAAGAAUCCGAACUGUCGCUGUCACCACUGCCGCCAACACCAUGGAAGGAGCAAAACCGACAUUGCAGCUUGUGUACCAGGCAGUGCAGGCGCUUUACCACGACCCGGAUCCCAGCGGAAAGGAGCGCGCCUCGUUUUGGCUUGGGGAGCUGCAGCGUUCGGUUCAUGCCUGGGAGAUUUCUGAUCAGUUGUUACAGAUCCGGCAGGAUGUGGAAUCAUGCUAUUUUGCUGCACAGACCAUGAAGAUGAAGAUUCAGACCUCAUUUUAUGAGCUCCCUACAGACUCUCAUGCCUCCUUAAGGGACUCAUUGCUAACCCAUAUCCAGAACUUGAAAGAUUUAUCACCUGUCAUUGUAACGCAGCUGGCUUUAGCAAUAGCAGAUCUCGCUCUACAGAUGCCUUCUUGGAAGGGUUGUGUACAAACAUUGGUGGAAAAAUAUAGCAAUGAUGUAACUUCUCUGCCAUUUUUGCUGGAGAUUCUUACGGUGUUACCUGAAGAAGUUCAUAGUCGUUCUUUACGAAUUGGAGCUAACAGACGCACAGAAAUUAUAGAAGAUUUGGCCUUCUACUCCAGUACAGUAGUAUCUCUGUUGAUGACUUGUGUAGAAAAAGCAGGAACAGAUGAGAAAAUGCUUAUGAAGGUCUUUCGCUGUUUGGGAAGUUGGUUUAACUUGGGAGUUUUGGACAGUAACUUCAUGGCUAACAAUAAGUUACUAGCCCUUCUUUUUGAGGUUUUGCAACAGGAUAAGACCUCAUCUAACCUACAUGAAGCUGCUUCAGACUGUGUGUGCUCAGCUCUUUAUGCCAUUGAGAAUGUGGAAACUACCUUGCCAUUAGCAAUGCAACUUUUUCAGGGAGUCCUGACAUUGGAGACUGCCUAUCAUAUGGCUGUGGCACGUGAAGAUUUAGACAAAGUUCUGAAUUACUGCCGUAUUUUCACUGAACUAUGUGAAACUUUUCUUGAAAAAAUUGUUUGUACUCCAGGCCAAGGUCUUGGGGACCUGCGAACUCUGGAAUUGCUUCUUAUUUGUGCAGGGCAUCCUCAGUAUGAGGUAGUAGAAAUUUCCUUUAACUUUUGGUACCGACUAGGGGAGCAUUUGUACAAAACUAACGAUGAAGUUAUUCAUGGCAUCUUCAAAGCUUACAUUCAGAGGCUGCUUCAUGCCUUGGCUCGACACUGCCAGCUAGAACCGGACCAUGAGGGGGUUCCUGAGGAAACUGAUGACUUUGGCGAGUUUCGGAUGCGGGUAUCAGACCUGGUGAAAGAUUUGAUUUUCUUGAUUGGGUCUAUGGAGUGUUUUGCUCAGUUAUAUUCUACUCUGAAAGAAGGCAACCCACCCUGGGAGGUGACAGAAGCGGUUCUCUUUAUCAUGGCUGCUAUAGCAAAGAGUGUUGAUCCGGAGAACAAUCCAACAUUGGUGGAGGUCCUAGAAGGAGUCGUUCGUCUCCCAGAGACUGUCCAUACAGCCGUGCGAUACACCAGCAUUGAGUUGGUUGGAGAAAUGAGCGAAGUGGUUGAUCGAAAUCCUCAGUUCCUUGACCCUGUGUUGGGCUAUUUGAUGAAAGGCCUAUGUGAAAAGCCUCUGGCUUCUGCUGCAGCCAAAGCCAUUCAUAAUAUUUGCUCUGUCUGUCGAGAUCACAUGGCUCAGCACUUUAAUGGACUCCUGGAGAUUGCUCGUUCUCUUGACUCCUUCAUGUUUUCUCCGGAAGCUGCAGUGGGCUUGCUAAAAGGGACAGCUCUUGUUCUUGCCAGAUUACCGUUGGAUAAGAUUACUGAAUGUCUUAGUGAACUAUGUUCUGUUCAGGUUAUGGCAUUGAAAAAGCUGUUGUCUCAGGAGCCCAGCAAUGGCAUAUCCUCAGAUCCCACUGUGUUCUUAGAUCGCCUGGCAGUGAUAUUUAGACAUACCAAUCCCAUUGUGGAAAAUGGACAGACUCAUCCAUGCCAAAAAGUCAUACAGGAAAUAUGGCCAGUUUUAUCCGAGACUCUAAAUAAACACCGGGCUGAUAAUCGGAUUGUAGAGCGUUGUUGCAGGUGCCUUCGCUUUGCUGUUCGCUGUGUAGGCAAAGGUUCUGCAGCCCUGCUGCAACCACUAGUCACACAGAUGGUGAAUGUAUACCAUGUACAUCAGCAUUCCUGUUUCCUGUACCUUGGCAGUAUCCUUGUUGAUGAGUAUGGCAUGGAAGAAGGCUGUCGGCAGGGACUUCUAGACAUGCUCCAGGCACUGUGCAUCCCUACCUUUCAACUCCUGGAACAGCAGAAUGGUCUCCAGAACCACCCUGACACUGUAGAUGACCUGUUCAGGCUAGCUACCAGGUUUAUUCAGCGUAGCCCUGUCACCUUACUGAGGAGCCAAGUAGUCAUCCCAAUCUUACAGUGGGCCAUUGCCUCUACUACCCUGGAUCACCGGGAUGCCAACUGUAGUGUCAUGAGGUUCCUACGAGACCUCAUCCAUACAGGGGUAGCCAAUGAUCAUGAAGAAGACUUUGAAUUACGAAAAGAACUAAUUGGACAGGUGAUGAACCAGCUUGGACAACAGCUUGUAAGCCAGCUGCUCCAUACAUGUUGCUUUUGUCUCCCCCCCUAUACCUUACCAGAUGUGGCUGAAGUGCUCUGGGAGAUCAUGCAGGUUGACAGACCGACCUUUUGUCGAUGGUUAGAGAAUUCUUUGAAAGGUUUGCCAAAGGAGACAACUGUGGGAGCUGUUACAGUGACACACAAACAACUUACAGACUUCCACAAGCAAGUCACUAGUGCUGAGGAAUGUAAGCAAGUUUGCUGGGCCUUGCGAGACUUCACCAGAUUGUUUCGAUAGCUCACACUCCUGCACUGUGCCUGUCACCCAGUCCAGUCAGCAUUGGAGAUGCACUCAAGCAGCAUUUCAUUAAAGUUCUUAAACUCUGGAAAAGGGGGAGUAGUUGCCAACCUUAAGUAUCCAGUAACACAAAGGCUCAUCAUAUCCAUCUCAGGAAGAAGAAAGAAGAGGAAGCAACACUCAAACUGGGGAACCCCCAAAUCAGGCCCAUGCCCAGCAGAGGCCUUGCUGAGGGACUUGACCCACAACACUUCUUGGCUCUUUUGCCAAAAAAAGGGGUGGGGGGCAACAAUAACUAGGCCCCCAAGGUUGGAGGUGUUCUUUUCCUGCUCUUUUGGCUGCUGGCUGAGUUUCUUCAGAGCUAGAAUGAACAUAGGGUUAGGCCAAAGAAGAUGGAGCCCUUUUAAAGCAGAGCUUUGCAGAGAGAACUUGGUGCUUAGGCCUUUCUUUGUACUUGGCCCAAAUCCACAUUCAGGAGACCCAGAGGUAGGACCUUGCAGCCAGCCAGGCCUUCUGGGGCUAUCACAGCUGAUCAGUCUACAUAGUCACCCAGGAAACCUGGGCCAGCCAGUAUUUGCAGCCCUGUUAUUGCAUGCUGACUGGGUGCAUGGGCCAGGGCCUUUGUUCAGCACCAAGGCCUGCCACUGGAGGGGCCUGGGCCACAGGCUGCAGCUGUUGCUGAGACUGCCAGAUGUGAUGGAGCUCCUUGAACUGCUCCACCAUGUGGUCUUUGAGGUCUGGGUUUGAGAUCUGUAGGCGAAUGCUGUCAGCUGACCAAGAAAGCUCCCCUGAGAACAUCUCCAGCAGCAACCUGGCUGCAACAGGCACGACCUGGGAGACAAAGAAGAGAGAAAACUAGUGGCAGGGCUGCCAGAUCCCACUGGGCAUGAAAGUGGUAGACUGCCUCCUCCAGCCCUGAGCCUUGGUCAUUUCUUGACAACCAAGUUCUUACCUCCCAGAGAGCCCUGACCCCCACCCUGGGUCAAGGGCCAGCCCUGUAUGCGCCAGUACUCAAGCCAAGGCAGUGGGGCUGAGGGGCACACCUGUACAGUAAUGAGCUUCUUCUCUCGGGGUUUUCGGUCAGGCCACUCUUCCCCGAAACAGAAGAAAAUCUCAAAGGGUGGUGGGGCACUGGUCUGGCCCUUCUGGAACAGGAUGAGCUCUGCAUUAAGAUCAAGACACCUAGUUAGUCAGAGGCUAGAACCAUGCCCUGGGGGAGAGGCAGCCAGGAGGAACUUGUGGAGUCUCACCAUUGAGAAACUGCUCCAGGCUGAAGAGCUUGGUCUUGACCUCCCGCUGGAUGGGGUUGGGGCUUGAGCCAUGGGCUGUGGCACAGGGCCCGCUCCAGAACACCUUGCAUUGGCAGAGACGGAUGGCAUACAGGUCUUGACCCUGCAACUGGAGGAUGAGCCCUCGGUCUAGGACAUCCAGCAGCUGGUUGGUGUAGAAGCGUUGCUUGUCGCUGGGGAUGUCCUCAGGGCUGGGGAAUCGCACUUGCUCCAGGCUCACAGGGCCAAAGAGUUCCACCUGCUCUUGGGUGGCCUCCAGUUGGCUAUAGAAGAGCCGGCAGCCUUGUGGGUUGCUGAUGGUAAGGGCACAGGGUGGCCGCCCCCGGUAUUGGAACUUGAUCUCCAGGUCUGUCACUGUGGGGCAGAGGGGCAGGCCACCCCAGCCAUGAGCCUCCCCACCUGUUCUGCAGCCAGGAACAAGCCCAACCUCAGCGGCUCUCUCACUUUCUCCCUCCCAGCUUCCCGCGGGGCUGGCAUACAUACUUUUGUUCUUUCCCGUCAUCCUCCACCUUCCUUGCCAGCUCUACCACAAUCUCCAGCACUGUACCCACCCCCAGCACACCCAGGUUCCUUACAAGGCAGCAUAUGGGGGCUGAUCAGCAGGUCAGGCAAGAGUUGCUCUCCUGUAGGGGGCAGGCUGGCAUCCAGGGGCCCAGGCUCCACGUUCGGCAGGACCCCAGGGAGAAGAUGCCCAAAGCCAGCAGCGUCGCCAUGAGGAGGUGCCAGGAGGUUGGGGGCUGGAGCUGGGGGACCCAGCCCCACAGGUGGCUGGAGAGCUGGUGACCACUUGGCAUCUUCUUUGGGUAAAUAGGAUGCCAUUGGGGGGCCAGGCUGCACUGUUUCUACAGACAGUGGGGUGGACAGAGCCAUUAAAGCCACCUCUAGAAAAUGCCUCCCAGGCCCACCAACUCCCACCUCCUGCCAACCCUCAGCCUCCUUUCAGCCCCCUCCCAAGUACCUAUGGUACUUGUCACUUCUUAUGCUAGACCCCCAACCGUACUACCUCCAAGCCCCACCUGUGAUGCUCAGGCCUGGUAACAUCCUCUGGAGCUAAAGAGAAGACAUGGGCAAAAGAGAAGAAGGCAGAGAGAAAGGAAGGCAGGUUAUUAAACUGUUCUGAUGCUGAGAAAAUAAGGCUGGAGAAGCACAAGGCUGUCCCCUCCUUUCUUCAGCUCAGCUGAGGCCAGACCCUACCUCCAGAGAGUCCAACCUUUAUGAGGGUCAAUCAGUCAAUGUGACAUGCUGUGUAACAACACAGCCCAGGGAGGGACAAGGUAGGCACUCUGUUCCUGUCCUUCAGAUCCCCAAGAAAAUAAAAAAGAGCCGCAGAGGGCCAUGGGCUCCAGAGGAAGGGACCGCUCAACCCUAAAAUAGGGGAGGGCAGCAAAGCCCAUCUCGUCGGUCAGUGGUCAGUGCAGGCAGCUGGAUGCAGCCACCUCCUCACUGCCCUGCCCCCACGCACCUCUUCUUCUUCCUCCUCUUCUUCUGUACAUACACUAUAAUCCUCAGUGGGCUGGGACUCUGCACAGCAAGGGAGAGAAAAGGACAGGAGGGGAAUCAGUGACAAUGCAGGAGUUGGGACAUCCAGGCUCCAUUUGGGCAGCCUGAGAGGUUUCCCAAAAGCCCUGCUGGGCCUUCUGCCCUCCCCAAAGCUAUCCAAACACAGGAUGAGAUGAAAGGCACCACCACCAGGAACUGGUAGGGACCUCUCCCCUGACGCCAAGAGCCCAGAACAAUGGCGGUGGUGAGGAAGAACCAUCUGGGCCCCUGAAUCCAUUCCAAGCCCUGGAGUAAUGACCUUGCAAAGCCCCAGCACCAUGUCCUAGAAGGGCCCUGGGCCUUCCUACAUUCACAGUAAGCCUCCCAGGUGGUCCAUACAGGACCAGGCAUGGUACCUGUGGGAGCAGGGCCAUUGGAGCAGACCUCGUAGAUCUUGUAGGGUUGAGGCGGCAUGUCCCGGGGCCCAUCAUAGAUGAGGCGGAAGUCCCGGCUCUUGUUAAGGGCACAGCGCAGGUUGGCCUUCCACUUGGCUGGAUCAGCCUCGUCCACCCCCUCAGUAUAUUUCCCCGUCUCCUUGGCCCAGGCCUGGGACAGGAAGAGAGGACAGUUGACCAUGGAGAACCUCACUCCUUGAAGCCCCAGCUAUCCUUUUCUCUACCUUCCUGUCCUAUAGGAGUCCUUGCUGAGAUCUGUGGCCAUAGGCUGAGCCUUGUUGAGCUGAGGGACUCAUCUGCAACAAGUGGAUGUGAAAUAGUCCUUCUCUUGGGGUUCCAACAAGCUCAAUAAACCCCGCAAGCUUUAAGGGGUAUCCACGAUUCACUGCUCCUAGCAGGGCAAAGAGGUAUAGUUUCUACAUAGGACAAAGUUACAUGGUGGAUAUGGGUACAUAAUCUGGAGCCAGGCUGGUAUCGAAACCAGCAUGUGCCACCUGCCAUGUCACUCUGCCUCUCUUUGCUUCAUCCUCCUCAUAAUACCUAUUCACAGGGUAUCAGUGAGGGCUCCAAGAGUCAAUGCCCAUAAAGUACUCAAAACUGUGCCUUUAUAUAGAAUGGGAUGGAUGUGCUUCAGCUAUUGGUACGCUGCUCCUACUGCUGCUGCUGAUGGUGAUGUUGAGGAUGCUUGCUAAGGUCUAUCACUGAACUACACCCCCAGCUGCUACUAUUAUUUUAGAUGGCAAUUUGGUGAUGUCAGGAUUACAAAAGUUUCUACCCUCAAACCCAGCAACUGGGUUUCUAUAGAAUUAUAUAGACUAGCCAGUCACAAUGGUGCAUGCCUGUAAUCUCAGGAGGCUGAGGCAGGAGGAUCUCAAGUUCAAAACCAGCCUCAGCAACUUAGCAAGGCCCUAAGCAACUUAGCAAGAUUCCCCCUUCCUUUUUUUUUUUUUCUUGUGGUACCCAGAAUUGAGGCCAGAAUAAAAAAUAAAAAGGGCUGAGGAUACAGCUCUGUGGCUAAGCACCCACAAUCCCAGGUACCAAAGAAAAAAUUAGACUUAACACAAAAUUUUAUACAUACAGCUUAUUCACUGUAGCACUAUUUGUAAAAGCAAAUGAUCUGUGAUAUCCAAUGUCCAUAGUGGGGGCUGGUUAAAUUAUGUCUAGCUGGUUAAAUUAUGAUCAGCUCAGAGAAUUGAAUAUGCAGGAAGAGAAAGGAGGGAACUUUUUAUACACUGAUUGAUCUUAAAGAAAUAUGAAGUGCAGACAGUAUGUAUACCGCUAGCAUUUUUGUGAAAAGCUGGGAAAAGAUAGGUGGUAUUUUGCUUGUCUGCACGGAAAUCUCUCAGGAAAGAUAAACAAGAAUCUGAGGUUGAGGCAGGAGGAUUGCAAGUUCAAAGCCAGCCUCAGCAACUUAGUGAGGCCCUAAGAAACUUAGUGAGACCCUGUCUCUAAAUAAAAUACAAAAAAAGGGCUGAGGAUAUGGCUCAGUGGUUGAGCGGCCCUGGGUUCAAUUCCUGGUACUAAAACAAAACAUGGAAUCUGAUAAAACUAUUGCCUCUAGGGAGUGGAGUGGAUAGCUGGGACAAGGGUGCAAGGGAGACUUUGCUGUAAAUCAUUUUAUACCAUUUUCAUUUUGAAUUAUGUAACUGUUAUAUAUUGAAAAAUAAGAAAUGGAUUUGAAAAAGAACUCUGAAAAGGGAAGUUCAGGUACAAAUAUUAAGAAACAUGUAUCCAGGGGCUGGGGAUGUGGCUCAAGCGGUAGCGCGCUCGCCUGGCAUGCGUGCGGCCCGGGUUCGAUCCUCAGCACCACAUACAAACAAAGAUGUUGUGUCCGCUGAGAACUAAAAAAUAAAUAUUAAAAAAUUUUCUCUCUCUCUCUCUCUCUCUCUCUCUCUCUCUCUCUCUCCCCUACUCUCUCUUUAAAAAAAAAAAGAAA
Marmota monax (woodchuck) is the source of this 8288-nucleotide RNA transcript. It is a transcript of the gene named transportin-3, with no coding region annotated. The transcript has 24 exons. The record is from RefSeq and is a predicted model, not a curated record. Lineage: Eukaryota; Metazoa; Chordata; Mammalia; Rodentia; Sciuridae.